CCUACGGGUGGCAGCAGUGAGGAAUAUUGGUCAAUGGGCGGAAGCCUGAACCAGCCAUGUAGCGUGCAGGAUGACGGCCCUACGGGUUGUAAACUGCUUUUAUCCGGGAAUAACGCGCCUUACGUGUAGGGCUUUGCAUGUACCGUAUGAAUAAGGACCGGCUACUUCCGUGCCAGCAGCCGCGGUAAUACGGAGGAUCCGAGCGUUAUCCGGAUUUAUUGGGUUUAAAGGGAGCGUAGGUGGAUGGUUAAGUCAGGUGUGAAAGUGUGCGGCUCAACCGUAGAAGUGCAGUUGAAACUGGCAGUCGUGAGUACAGAAGAGGUGGGCGGAAUGAGUGGUGUAGCGGUGAAAUGCUUAGAUAGCACGAAGAACUCCGAUUGCGAAGGCAGUUCACUGAACUGCAACUGACACUGAGGCACGAAAGCGUGGGUAUCAAACAGGAUUAGAUACCCCGGUAGUC
Molecule: ribosomal RNA, 460 nt
Filed under: uncultured bacterium
Lineage: Bacteria
Description: partial 16S ribosomal RNA
Rfam family: Bacterial small subunit ribosomal RNA
Source: RNAcentral